CGAUACGAGUUUGAUCAUGGCUCAGAAUCAACGCUGGCGGCGUGCCUCAGACAUGCAAGUCGAACGAUUAAAGCUCUCUUCGGAGAGUGUAUAGAGUGGCGCACGGGUGAGUAACACGUAAGUAAUCUACCCUCGAGUGGGGAAUAACAACCGGAAACGGUUGCUAAUACCGCAUAAUGCAGCGGCACCGCAAGGUGACAGUUGUUAAAGAUUUAUCGCUUGAGGAGGAGCUUGCGGCAGAUUAGCUAGUUGGUAGGGUAACGGCUUACCAAGGCUACGAUCUGUAACCGGUCUAAGAGGACGGUCGGUCACACUGACACUGAAUAACGGGUCAGACUCCUACGGGAGGCAGCAGUCGGGAAUUUUGGGCAAUGGGCGAAAGCCUGACCCAGCAACGCCGCGUGAAGGAUGAAGUAUUUCGGUAUGUAAACUUCGAAAGAAUAGGAAGAAUUAAUGACGGUACUAUUUAUAAGGUCCGGCUAACUACGUG
Molecule: ribosomal RNA, 490 nt
Filed under: uncultured bacterium
Lineage: Bacteria
Description: bacterial SSU rRNA
Rfam family: Bacterial small subunit ribosomal RNA
Source: RNAcentral